GACGAACGCUGGCGGCGUGCUUAACACAUGCAAGUCGAACGGAAAGGCCUUUUCGGAGGUACUCGAGUGGCGAACGGGUGAGUAACACGUGGGUGAUCUGCCCUGCACUCUGGGAUAAGCCUGGGAAACUGGGUCUAAUACCGGAUAGGACCGCACUUUAGUGUGUGUGGUGGAAAGUUCUUUCUGUGUAGGAUGAGCCCGCGGCCUAUCAGCUUGUUGGUGGGGUAAUGGCCUACCAAGGCGGCGACGGGUAGCCGGACUGAGAGGUUGGUCGGCCACAUUGGGGCUGAGAUACGGCCCAGACUCCUACGGGAGGCAGCAGUGGGGAAUAUUGCACAAUGGGCGCAAGCCUGAUGCAGCGACGCCGCGUGGGGGAUGACGGCCUUCGGGUUGUAAACUCCUUUCGCCAGGGACGAAGCGUUUUGUGACGGUACCUGGAGAAGAAGCACCGGCUAACUACGUGCCAGCAGCCGCGGUAAUACGUAGGGUGCAAGCGUUGUCCGGAAUUACUGGGCGUAAAGAGCUCGUAGGUGGUUUGUCACGUCGUCUGUGAAAUUCCACAGCUUAACUGAGGGCGUGCAGGCGAUACGGGCUGACUUGAGUACUGUAGGGGUAACUGGAAUUCCUGGUGUAGCGGUGAAAUGCGCAGAUAUCAGGAGGAACACCGAUGGCGAAGGCAGGUUACUGGGCAGUUACUGACGCUGAGGAGCGAAAGCAUGGGUAGCAAACAGGAUUAGAUACCCUGGUAGUCCAUGCCGUA
This 760-nucleotide ribosomal RNA is filed under the name uncultured organism. RNAcentral describes it as "SSU rRNA". It matches the Rfam family "Bacterial small subunit ribosomal RNA", at positions 28 to 804 of the family's 1533-position model. The record is from RNAcentral.